RNAcentral lists this long non-coding RNA (333 nucleotides) under Bos indicus x Bos taurus (hybrid cattle). RNAcentral describes it as "lncRNA (ENSBIXG00000029841.1)". Lineage: Eukaryota; Metazoa; Chordata; Mammalia; Artiodactyla; Bovidae. The record is from RNAcentral.
AUCAGCCCUUCGUCUGAGGCUUUUUAUUUUCCUAGCUCUCCUUGAGCGGAGGGGGGAAAAAUUAUUUCUUGCCCUGGAUGAGAAAGCUCACUGUUUUAUCCACUCUCCUGCACUCUGAGUGUUAAACAUCUAGCCCACCGAUGACCUCCCACAAUUUCAGAAACUCUCCCGCAGGAAACACAGAGGACAGGAGGGACCAGCAAGGAGGAGAUCCGAAGCCUGAUCCUGCUGGGGCCUGGCCUCUCGGAACUCUGCGGCCAGCCGGCUGUCCUCUGUAAAGUGGAGAAGAUGACAAGACCCGCUCUAUUCCCGAUCUGGGGAGAUGUGAAGAUC